GUAUAUUUUUAUCAUAAAAGUUUCUGAUCGAACAGUUUAAUUCAGGUUAGAAUGAAACUUUUUUUCAUAGUUUCUUACUUCCAUGCAUGUUACAGUGUGCAUUUAUUUUGGAUAUGAAAAUGUUCAAUAGUUUGUUAAUACUUCUACUUGUUAGAAUCAAAAGUUUAUUUGUUAAGAUUUGAACCUUUUGUUAUUCUUGUUUGCAACUGUUUCCAAUUUUAUAUAUUUUGAAACAACUACCGGUAUAUUGAUGCUUCAUCCUCUUAUCCUGAUGUAAAGAUGAACACAUAGGGCUACAUGAAUUUCUACUACCAAAUAAAUAGCUAGCCUAGCUGCUAAAUGAUUCUAAAUAGGAUAGAAAAAAUCAUGUUAUCUAAAGAAUUCAACAUAGCGUGAGAUAGGUGAUUAUUAAUGGUGUCAUUUGGAUAGCCUAGCUACAUAGACUAUCAUUCAACAUAGAUAGAUAUCGAAGACAUAGCAGCUAUACUAGCUGCUACAAUAUUGAAUGCAAACCAGAUUGGUUGAGAUUAUUUAUGACAUGCAGGUUUCUCUAGGUUUAACCAGGUCAUAAACAAACUAUAUCAUUGAUUCCUAGUUGAAAUGAAUUGUGUUAUCAUGUUGUAACCCAUGUGAUUGCCAUUUUGUAUUAUACAAAUUAUCAUUGUGACUAUCAUAUAAUUCAUACUAGCUUGCUGUACACUAAAUUCAUAUUUAUUUGGUGUACACUUGAUUCAUACUACUACAAUAUUAUACAGCUAUUGAUUAGCCUGCUGUUCACUAGUCCAAAGAAUUAUGACGUCUUGAAAGGCUAUUAUAUUUUUCAAAACUAAAAUAUAUAUAAUAGCCUUUGAAGACAUCAUAAUUGUCAAUUAUUUGUACUAGCUGUUCACUUGAUUCAAACUAGGUUGUUGUACACUUUAUUCAUGCUUACUUAAUGUACACUUGGUUCAUACUAUAUGGUUGUACACGUACUUGAUUCAUACUAGCUUGCUUGGUGUACACUUGGUUCAUACUAUAUUGUUGUACACAUAGUUGAUUCGUACUAGAAUAUGAAAAUAUGAAAGGACAAAUGUACCCACACAAGAGACAGAUUAUUCGGUCUAGAUUCGUACUAGCUUGCAUGGUGUACACUUGGUUCAUACUUUAUUGUUGUACACAUACUUGAUUCAUACUAGCUUGCUGUACACUUGAUUCAAACUAUCUUGGUGUACACUUGAUUCAUACUAGCUUAGUGUACACUUGAUUCAUACUAGCUUAGUGUACACUUGAUUCAUACUAGCUUGCAUGGUGUACACUUGGUUCAUACUUUAAUUUUGUACACAUACUUGAUUCAUACUAGCUCUUGUACACUUGAUUCAUACUAGCUUGCUGUACACUUGAUUCAAACUAUCUUGGUGUACUCUUGAUUCAAACUAUCUUGGUGUACACUUGAUUCAUACUAGCUUAGUGUACACUUGAUUCAUACUAGCUUAGUGUACACUUUAUUCAUACUAGGUUAGUGUACACUUGAUUCAUACUAGCUUGCAUGGUGUACACUUGGUUCAUACUUUAAAUUUGUACACAUACUUGAUUCAUACUAGCUUGCUGUACACUUGAUUCAAACUAUCUUGGUGUACACUUGAUUCAAAAUAUCUUGGUGUACACUUGAUUCAUACUAUAUUUUUGUACACUUGAUUCAUACUAGCUUAGUGUACACUUGAUUUAUACUAUCUUAGUGUAACACUUAAUUAUACUACAACAAAAUUAUACACAUUUUAAUUAACUUGCAGUACACUUGAUUUAUACUAGGUUGAGUUUUUUCACUGUGAAAUCAUGAUGAUUCAUUGCAAACAGUUAAAUGUAAGCAUUUAUUGAGGCCUAGAAUUAUAACAUCAAGUUUUAUUUGUUGAUUGUUAUAUAUUGUUGAUUUGUCUGUUAUAUUUGCUGAACUGAAUCAAUCAGUAAUACGAAACAUUUUCUUUUAUACCAAUUUAUUUUUACAAGUUUUAGUGAUUACACGGUUGUGCAUUUAAUUAAUGUGAUAAAUAUAGUUUUAU
This 2036-nucleotide long non-coding RNA is filed under the name Mytilus galloprovincialis (Mediterranean mussel). Lineage: Eukaryota; Metazoa; Mollusca; Bivalvia; Mytilida; Mytilidae. The record is from RNAcentral.